GGGGACAUCAGGUAGAGAGACUCAUUCAGACCUGGGGACAUCAGGUAGAGAGACUCAUUCAGACCUGGGGACAUCAGGUAGAGAGACUCAUUCAGACCUGGGGACAUCAGGUAGAGAGACUCAUUCAGACCUGGGGACAUCAGGUAGAGAGACUCAUUCAGACCUGGGGACAUCAGGUAGAGAGACUCAUUCAGACCUGGGGACAUCAGGUAGAGAGACUCAUUCAGACCUGGGGACAUCAGGUAGGAAGAGAAAGCAGAAAUGUUUUGGCCCUCAGGACCUGAAUAAUACUUUGACAUUGAAACACAACAGCUAUACAUAACUAGGUGAAAGCAGACCUGAUGCAACACACACACACAAUAAAACACACACACACACACACACACACACACACACACAAUCAGCACACGCACACACAAUCAGCACACGCACACACACGCACACACACACACAAUAAGCACACACACACACACACACACACACAAUAAACACACACACAAUAAGCACACGCACACGCACACACACAAUAAGCACACUGUGGUAAGACUGUUUUGGGUUGCAUUUUGUCUGCAUUUAGCCAAUCUGUAACAAUCAGAAGAAUAAAAUACACAUCCAAACAUCUUGACCUUUCAACAAACAGCAAGAUGGAAAUGAACCUUGUGAAGGAAACAGCAACAUAAAGUGUUUUAAUAGGAGGUAACUGGCAGAAUAAAGGAAACUCCAGGUCCUCCACCAACCACCAGGUAACUGCCAGAAUAAAGGAAACUCCAACAGUGUUUUAAUAGGACGUCGGGUCCUCCACCAACCAGAACAGCUUUAAUACACCUUGACAUCGAUUCUACAAGUGUCUGGGAAGUCUAUCGGAGGGAUGAGACGCCAUUCUUCCACGAGGAAAUUCCAUCAUUUGGUGUUUUGUUGAUGGUAUUGAAGCCACCUUGCAGCCAUUUUGGCUCUCCUUAAUGAUGUGUAUAAACCCUGGAUGGCUGAC
RNAcentral lists this long non-coding RNA (988 nucleotides) under Salmo salar (Atlantic salmon). RNAcentral describes it as "lncRNA (ENSSSAG00000090656.1)". The record is from RNAcentral. Lineage: Eukaryota; Metazoa; Chordata; Actinopteri; Salmoniformes; Salmonidae.